Molecule: long non-coding RNA, 258 nt
Organism: Puntigrus tetrazona (Sumatra barb)
Lineage: Eukaryota; Metazoa; Chordata; Actinopteri; Cypriniformes; Cyprinidae
Exons: 3
Source: RefSeq, a predicted model, not a curated record
UCUGGGUCCGACCCUGCUACCGGCACAACACACACCGUUCUGCAUAAAAGGACGCUUUCACCCCAUCUGUUCCACCCCGUCUGCACACACACGGCCGAGGAGAGAGCGGCGCAAAGAGAGGCAGAGAUGCAUGCAGGAGACACACAGAGACAGCAUCAGCUUGGACUCUUCAACCUCAGGUUUCCUCCACCAGAGCAAUGAAUCAACACCGAAUCAGCUGCAUAGUGGUACACACAAUCUGAUGGGAUUUUUGCUCAC